This 83-nucleotide transfer RNA is filed under the name Chloroflexota bacterium. RNAcentral describes it as "tRNA-Gly". It matches the Rfam family "tRNA". Rfam says of the family: Transfer RNA (tRNA) molecules are approximately 80 nucleotides in length. Their secondary structure includes four short double-helical elements and three loops (D, anti-codon, and T loops). Lineage: Bacteria; Bacillati; Chloroflexota. The record is from RNAcentral.
GGCGCAGUGGCGAAAAGGUAAACGCUCUGGCCUCCCAAGUCAGUGGGCGCUCGCCCUUGCAGGUUCGAAUCCUGUCUGCGCCA